AACUAUUGGAAACGAUAGCUAAGACCGCAUAGGUACGGACACUGCAUGGUGACCGUAUUAAAAGUGCCUCAAAGCACUGGUAGGGGAUGGACUUAUGGCGCAUUAGCUGGUUGGCGGGGUAACGGCCCACCAAGGCGACGAUGCGUAGCCGACCUGAGAGGGUGACCGGCCACACUGGGACUGAGACACGGCCCAGACUCCUACGGGAGGCAGCAUG
This 217-nucleotide ribosomal RNA is filed under the name uncultured bacterium. Its description in RNAcentral is "partial 16S ribosomal RNA". It matches the Rfam family "Bacterial small subunit ribosomal RNA", at positions 145 to 353 of the family's 1533-position model. The record is from RNAcentral.